CCUGGAGACAUGCUCCGGCCAGUCCUCCCGGUCGCGCGCCACGGUCGCCAAGACCAGACAGACGUCAGCUCGGUUCCCACCUCGCUACUCCCCAUCACCAUGCUCGCCCAAAGCGCGAUGGCGCCGGAUUGCGAACCAGUAGGUAAGGACCGAAGGCACAGCCGAACUCUAACAAAAGGAGGA
Non-coding RNA from Rattus norvegicus (Norway rat), 183 nucleotides. Lineage: Eukaryota; Metazoa; Chordata; Mammalia; Rodentia; Muridae. The record is from Rfam.